UUUUAUAUUUUGGAGUAAAUCCGUUUUGAACAGCAGGUCUGUUUUAGAGACCUUGCUGUGAUUACUCUUUUCUCAACUCAUAGCUUCAUUACUUCUCCUUUCUAACCUUUAGUCCUUAGGUGAGGUUUUGAAGUUUUCUCAAGCUUGGUAGCAUUAUUUCAUUGUUAGCCAUCCUUAAUACUCACUCAAGGUGAGUUCUCUCACACCGUUGUAUUGAUGAUUGUGUUUGCUAGUUAGCUCGUGUGUGAUUAUUUGAAUUUAUUAUAAAAGCAUGCUAUAUAAGUAUUGUUUUAAUUCGUACAUGUGCACUGUAUGUAACUAAUUAUGGAUAUGGGGACACCACCAAAGGAUACGGAUUUACCGGUGCGGUGGGUAGGUAAGAUCACCAACGUAAUACUCUUCGUGAGGUGCGGUGAUUAGGGCCAAAUNAUCUUCCCGGUGCGGCUCAAACCUACAAGUCCUUCUUGUAUUAUUGGGUUUGAUUCGUUCUUUCCCCUUAUUAUAAAACUAUAAUUGGAAAUGGAUUAGGGUUAGUAAAUAUGAAUGUUAGUACAANAUCAUUAUAAUUGGAAAAUGGAUUAGGGCUAGUAAAUAUGAAUUUUAGUACAAUGUUUGUGUUUGAAUUCACUAAGCUUCGUGCUUACGUUUUUCCCUUAUAACUUUUCAGGUGCUAAGAUUAAAGAGGCUAAGGCUUGACAUGGAGCAUCGGGACAUCGCUACUAGUUAUUUUGUUGGGACCUUAUUAUUAUUAUUACUUCCGCACUUAUUUUAUAUGAUUAUUAAGUUGAUGGAUUAUGUUAUGACUAUUUCAGUUGUUUUAAUUUAAUUUAAGAUGGGUUUUAAAAGUUUAAAAUUUUUGCAAAAAAAAUUGGGUGUCACAAGUUGGUAUCAGAGCCACAGUUUGAGGGAACUAGGCAUUCUUGUGGAUGUUCUAGACUCAAAUUUGAGGCUCUAUAAGAGUUUAUUUUCUUUUUAAAAUAUUUUUCAAACUUUCUGAAGACUAGUAGUGAAAGAUGUCGCGGUGUACCAGUCAGCCAGCCAAGUAAGCCUUAUUUCUUAUGUUAAAUGUUUAUGUUAAAUUGUUGACUAUGAAUUGGAUUCUACUAGCCUUAAAAUAUUAGAUUACACACUUAGUUAGUGUUAACAUGUGAGAGAGUUGUAAAAUUAACGGCUAGAGCGAACUGGAAAUUUUGAAACUAGACGCGAAUGCGAAAUUGGAACUUGUGUGGAAGGUAGUAGAAGGGCCCCUACUAUUUGAAACAUCGGUGCCGGUUUCGAGUCGGGGCAAGGUUGAAAAAUUUUCGGCAAGCUGAGUGUUUUGUCUUCCUAGAAAUAUCUAGGCUGAAUUGUUUCUAAGAUUUUCCUUCUUCUGUGGAUACCAAUGGCUCCGCCUGCUCGACUUAAUCAGCUCCAAAUGGAGCAAGUUAGGGAUAUUGUCGCUGAGGAAUUCAAUAACGGUUUCAACGAACUAAUCCCGGGUGUGACCAACGACAUAAUCAACCAAUUCGGUGCUCUUCUGGAUGAGCGCCUCGCGGCUAUUCCCGGGGAAGCGUUACUGUCUCUGCCUGUUCAGGAUUCGGCAUACUACUUCGAGAAGUUCAACAAGUGUAGCUCUCCUCUUUGGAAUGGUGAAUCCGACCCAGUUGCUACUAAGCCCUGGGUGUCAGAUGUUGAGGGCGCCUUCAUAAGUGUUGGGUGUCCGGACUAGUACAAAGCAGUGAUCGCCAUGAAUCAGCUGUGAAAAAGGGGAAAGACAUAGUGGAACACCAUCACCGCUCUAUUGAACGAAGACUAAGUGAGGGCCAUGUCUUGGGCCCAAUUUGUGGAGAGGUUCGAGGCACAAUAUGUGCCUAAGGUGGAGCAGCAGCGGAUGCAGCAAGAGUUCAUGGCCUUACAGCAGACUACCGAAUCCGUUAGUGACCUGAACGCCAAGUUCUUGGAGAUGCUAUCUUUUUGCCCCUCGUUUGCUGGGAACGAGGCCUGGUUAGUCAGCCGGUACACGGCCAUCCUACGUAUCGAGAUUCGGGAAUUCGUUAGCAUGCAGGAGUUCUCGACUUUAUCUGCGAUCAUGAAUGUAGCGAGGAGGAGGGAAAUCGAGUUGCAGACCCAGUCCAAGAGGAAGGCCAAUGACACCUCUUCCAAGACAUCCAGAGAUGCCCAGAAAAAGCAAAAGCAGGGUAGUAAGUCAAGGUAUGAGUAUAGGACGUCUUCAGGGUGAGAAAAAUCUAUUGAUAUGCUACUGCAAAAAGCCAGGGCAUCAUUGGAAGAAUUGUAGGGAUCCCCCUGCGAGUGUAGUACCUCAUAUUACUUCUGCAGUUCCCGUCUGCUGUCACUGCAAUGAGACGGGACACAAGAAGCCUGAAUGCCCGAAGUUGAAGACUAGUAAAGGAGACGGGGGUACAAAUCCUGCAAUUGCAUCUUCCUCUAAGGGAACCACUAUGGUGACACGAGGUCGUGCUCACCAGAUGACUGUGGAGGAGCCGGUGAUUACAACGACAGUGGCAGGCACUUAUUUGCUAGAUUCCGAGCCCGAUGUUGUUAUGUUUGAUAGCGGUGCUACCCAUUCUUUUGUAUCUCACACGUUUAUUAAUCGUUUGGGGCGUAGUAUCGGAAAAUUGGCUCACCCAAUGGUUGUCAAUGUUGCCGACAACCGCACUAUUUAUGUCACAAAUGUUUAUCGGGGUUACACUCUCGAUUUUUCUGGAGUUGAAUUCCCUAUUGAUCUUCUCCGUAUUGCGAUGCGAGAGCCUUGCGUUAUCGUAGGCAUGGAUUGGCUUGAUGCGUUUGAUGCGGAAAUCCAUUGUCGUAAGAAGCAAGUUCGUGUUCGAAACCCUAGAGGUGGAGGACUUAUUAUUCAGGGGGGGGCAUUCCCCACCUAGCUAUGGCUUCUUGUUCUUCUGCUAUAGCACUAGACGACGUUCCUAUCGUUUUCGACUUCAGCGAUGUCUUUCCGGAGGAACUCCCUGGCUUGCCACAUAUUCGGCAAGUGGAAUUUCGCAUUGAUUUGGUGCCAAGUGCGACUCCGGUAGCGAAAUCUCCUUACCGCUUGGCACCACCUGAAAUGAAAGAGCUCCAAGAUCAAAUUCAAGAACUAAGUGAUAAAGGGUUUAUACGGCUAAACUGCUCGCCUUGGGGUGCUCCUAUUCUCUUUGUGAAGAAGAAAAAUGGAUCCCAGCGAAUGUGUAUUGAUUAUAGGGAGCUAAACAAGCGCACGAUAAAGAAUAGGUACCCGUUGCCACGUAUUGACGAUCUUUUCGAUCAACUUCAGGGAGCAUCUUGGUUUUCCAAGAUUGAUUUACGUUCCAGUUACCAUCAGAUGCGGGUUCGUGAAGAAGACAUUGAGAAAACAGCAUUCCGUACUCACCCUCUGACAUUGAGAAAACGGUAUUAAGGUCGAUCAAGCCAAGGUUAAUGCGGUUAAACAAUGGAAGAUUCCAAAAACACCUUNGACAUUGAGAAAACAUCAUUCCGUACUCACCCUCUGACAUUGAGAAAACGGUAUUAAAGACGAUCAAGCCAAGGUUAAUGCGGUUAAUCAAUGGAAGAUUCCAAAAACACCUUUUGAAAUUCGCAGUUUCUUGGGUUUAGCCAGUUAUUACCGAAGGUUCAUUGAAAAUUUCUCUAAAAUCGCCAUACCACUCACCCGAUUGACCAAGAAAUCAAUGAAUUUCGUUUGGGGCCCGGAGCAGCAGCUGGCGUUUGAUGAGCUAAGGAAACGAUUGUGUGAUGCUCCGAUUUUGGCCUUACCUGAUGGGGUUGAGGAUAUGGUGGUUUACUGUGAUGCAUCGCUUCAAGGUCUUGGUGCCGUGUUAAUGCAACGAGAUAGGGUGAUAGCCUAUGCCUCCCGACAGCUGAAACCCCACGAACGAAACUACCCCACUCAUGAUUUGGAGCUUGGGGCUGUUGUUUUCGCUCUUAAAAUUUGGAGACACUAUCUCUAUGGAGUGAAGUAUAUCAUAUACACUGACCAUAAGAGUCUGAAAUAUUUGUUCAAGCAACGGGAUUUGAAAAUGAGGCAUAUCCGAUGGUUGGAUGUUGUAAAAGAUUAUGAUUGUGAAAUUCACUACCACCCCGGUAAAGCUAAUGUGGUAGCUGAUGCUCUCAGUCGUAAACAAUCUGCCGAACCGAUUCGAGCUAAGUGUCUCCGGAUCACGAUGGUUUCGUCUUUGUUAGAUCUAAUCUGGGACGCCCAAAAGACAGCAAUACUGGAGGAAAACAUUAGGCGUGAGAAGAUUGGGAAAGAGUUGCCUAAGAUGGAACGAGACGGGCGGGGUUUGCUGACUCGCUACGGUAGGGUUUGGGUUCCAUAUACCGGGGGAAAUCGGAAAACCCUAAUGGAUGAGUCUCAUAAGUCAAAAUUUUCUAUCCAUCCUGGUGCUACUAAAAUGUAUCGGGACCUUCAUGAGGCUUACUGGUGGCAUGGAAUGAAGAAUGAUGUGGCUCGAUUUGUGGAAGAAUGUAUGACCUGUCGGAAGGUCAAGGCGGAACACCAGAAACCGCAUGGGAAGUUGCAACCAUUGGAGAUUCCUGAAUGGAAAUGGGAGCAUCUAACCAUGGACUUCAUUACAAAACUUCCUAGAACUGCCCGAGGAUCAGAUACGAUAUGGGUGAUUGUUGAUCGUUUGACUAAGAGUGCUCACUUUCUGGCUAUAAAGGAGAGCUCAUCGGCGGAGAAAUUAGCCGAGAUCUUUGUUCGGGAGAUUGUCUCAUUACAUGGGGUGCCCGUUUCUAUCGUCUCCGAUCGAGACACCCGAUUUACCUCUCGGUUCUGGAGGAAGUUUCAAGAGGAAUUGGGCACACGAUUACAUUUUAGUACCGCCUUCCAUCCGCAGACAGACGGGCAGAGUGAGCGGACGAUUCAUACCUUGGAGGACAUGUUUAGGGCAUGUGCGAUUGAUUUUUGGGGUAGUUGGGAUGACCAUCUACAUCUAGCUAAGUUUUCUUAUAACAAUAGCUAUCACUCGAGCAUUAAAAUGCCUCCAUAUGAAGCCUUUUAUAGGAGGAAGUGCAGGACGCCCGUUUGUUGGGGCGAGGUUGGGUAGAGGGUACUUGGGAGUACCGAUAUCGUGCUACGGACUACGGAGAAAAUCCAAGUGAUUCGGGAUCAUUUGAUCACAGCGAGCAGUCGUCAUAAAGUUAUGCCGACAAAAGAUGCUCCAAUCUUGAGUUCCAGGUGGGAGAUUAUGUGUUGCUUAAAGUCUCCCCCUGGAAACGUGUGAUUCGAUUUCGGAAGCGGGGAAAGCUCGGACUCCGAUUCAUUGGACCCUACAAGGUCAUAGCCCGUGUGGGGAAGGUGGCUUACCGUUUAGAGCUUCCUGACGAGCUUAGUCUAAUUCAUAAUAUGUUCCAUGUGUCUCAGUUACGAAAAUGUGUUGUUGAUGAGACCGCUGUGAUACCACAGGAGGACAUACAGAUUGACGAGCGUCUCAAUUAUGUUGAGAAACCAAUCGCAAUUUUAGAACGAAAGAUGAAAGCUCUCCGCAACAAGACUAUAAACCUGGUUAAGGUGCAGUGGAAACAUAGGAAGGGUUUAGAAUGGACUUGGCAACCAGAAUGCGAGAUGCGGGCUCAUUAUCCGGAUCUGUUUCUAGGUAUUGACUUCGAGGACGAAGUCCGUUCUUAGUAGGGGAGAGUUGUAACGCCCCGGUUUUUCUCGGUACAUUUGGUUAUUUUAAUUUAAUUAUCCUUGUAACCUUGGGUUAAUUUAUUUAACCAAUGUCUGAUUUCUUAUGUUAUUGGACUCUUUUGAUCAUCUUGUAAACUCCUUUUAUUGAAGUCCAUGGGCUAUGGGCCUAUUUGCAAAGUCCAUCUAGUUAAUAGUACUUAAUGUGUAAAUUGAAUCAUUUGGAACACACACAAGGAAAACACUCUAAACCCUCCCUCUCUCUCAAAAAUCGUCCCUCUCUCUCUCUCUGUGGGAUCAAGAGCAGCCAAGGGGCUGUUUGGAGCUUAAUUCUUGUUCAUUUCCAGCCUUGAUUCGUAUUGGUAUGAACCUCCUUAUCCUUUCUUACAACUUGAUUCAUAACCUUGUUCUAGUUUUAUGAUUUCAUCUUCACCUCUUCUCCUUCUUAUUUUAUUUGUAAUUGUAUGUUAUACAUCAUCUCAAGAUCCUAUCUUCACCCCAUAUAUGGUGGAUGAUGGAUCUAGGGGAUUACAUGUGGCAAAAGAUCAUGGAAACCCUAAAAGGGAGAAUGAUGAUUUUAUGUGCUUAUGUUUAUUUUCAUGUUGAUUAUUAUUACAUGCUUGUGGGUAAAUGAAAUCCUAAUGAUCCCUAACCCUUUUUAGUACCACCAUUAUCAUGGGGACUGAGUUGGGAUGAUGAACACAUCUUAAAAUGUGUUUCAAAAGGAGAAGGAUGGAUAAGCCAAAAAGGAAUCACGGGUGACUACGAUUCUGUUUUCCAUCAGAUCUGUAUUCAUUUUGUAAAAAUCAUAUCUGCAGCUCUAGAACUCGAACUGACCCCAAACCAGUUCCAAAAGUUCGCAAAUUGAGUUGGCUAACUUUCUUAAGCAGUCAAACUUCACUGAUAAGGGCUUUAUCUAUGUGAAAUAAUGGCAUCUUUGCUGUUAGCUCUGAUCCGGGUCUGUUCUGAUAUGUCAUUUUGUUUUCAUCAUUUCUAAGGCGUGGAAAAAGAUCCAGAGUGAUUCCCAGUUUGUAUAUGUUCCUUAUAUUAUGAAUUUAAGAUCUGUAGAAUAUAGGGUGUUAUUUCCAAUUAUAAAUUGGUUAGAAUGGAUCCACACUUCAGGUUAGUGGGCAGUCACCAGCUUUUGCUAGUGCUGUGAUUGUCCACAAUGUGAAUUUUAUAUCUGGAGUUUGAUAGAUUCUUUUCAUUCAAUUCUAACUCUGAGACUUUCAAUCGUAUAUCCUUUACUGCUCUUAAUUUUAUUUUGGAUGAAUUCUACUCACAAGUUGGGUAGAAUUGGCCAACAUCACUUGACUGUAUUGUUGGAGACAGAAGUGAUACACCAUUUUGUAAAAUUCAUAUUUAAUUCAUCUUUUGGAGUUAGAACGAGUUCUUUAUAGUUGUGGAAUACUGAGAAAUCAUAUUUUCGUAUAAAAUUUAGUUAAAGCUAUGUUUUUGUUUUAGAUUUUGGAGUAAAUCCGUUUUGAACAGCAGGUCUGUUUUAGAGACCUUGCUGUGAUUACUCUUUUCUCAACUCAUAGCUUCAUUACUUCUCCUUUCUAACCUUUAGUCCUUCUUAGGCGAGGUUUUGAAGUUUGCUCAAGCUUGGUAGCAUUAUUUGAUUGUUAGCCAUCCUUAAUACUCACUCAAGGUGAGUUCUCUCACACCGUUGUAUUGAUGAUUGUGUUUGCUAGUUAGCUCGUGUGUGAUUAUUUGAAUUUAUUAUAAAAGCAUGCUAUAUAAGUAUUGUUUUAAUUCGUACAUGUGCACUGUAUGUAACUAAUUAUGGAUAUGGGGACACCACCAAAGGAUACGGAUUUAC
This 7445-nucleotide long non-coding RNA is filed under the name Lactuca sativa (garden lettuce). RNAcentral describes it as "long non-coding RNA (LSAT_LNC008994)". The record is from RNAcentral. Lineage: Eukaryota; Viridiplantae; Streptophyta; Magnoliopsida; Asterales; Asteraceae.